This 2528-nucleotide long non-coding RNA is filed under the name Triticum aestivum (bread wheat). RNAcentral describes it as "long non-coding RNA (TAES_LNC011347)". Lineage: Eukaryota; Viridiplantae; Streptophyta; Magnoliopsida; Poales; Poaceae. The record is from RNAcentral.
UUUUUGUACAACCUGUUUUCUCGAUACAACACAAUUUACAGCAAGACAACCAAACUAUAUUCCUUCAAAAAAUAGCAAUAGUUUACAUGACAAUACAGAUUUCCAACAAUCAAAUCUGAUUUGAAAAAGCAAAGCUAAUAUCAAAACAUCCCGAGCACAUCUAGAAAGCGCUAUGAGUUUUUUUUGUAAAGAGUGAGUUACAUGACUUAAAAGAAAAUGCACUGCUAGCUGAUUUUAAUCUCCAACAGCAACGAUUGAAGGCAGCUUCCGAACCCAAGUAAUUCCUGCUAAAAAACUUCAGUCUCCAGUAACAUGGAUUAACUGCCAAACCUGUGUAGAAUCAGAACGCAUUCAAAAUUAUAAUAUGUUAUAAAAAGCAAGCUCCCAAAUGAAUACAGAUAGUAACAUUAGUUGACUUUCCGAGCAAUCAUCCGUGGACACACCACUACUAUACUAAGGUACCAGUACCACGUAAACGUGUGCAACACAUGUGAAAACAAGCAAAAUUAGUCCAAAGAAAACUGCAUCAAAUAAAAGUAUAAUCGAGUUAGACUACAAGUGACAACAAACACACAUCACAGAACUAAAAGUGCAGCAGUUGGUUCAGCCAUUGGUUCUGGACCGAACAAACAGUAAGUGCAUGGGGUUAACCAGGCUGGGAGCUGUCUAUUUUCUGGCUUAGCAAACAAACAUGAGAUUUCUCAAAGAAAGCAAACAAACAUGAUACAGACAAGUACUUAGUUUUUUUUGUGAGAGGAAUUUGUGUGCCCGUACAGAUAUUUAGUUUAUCUGAAUCAAUCAUUUCUGUACUCUAAAAGAAAUGUGAACAAAAGUGAGAGAGACAAGCACUUAGUUUUUUUAGUGAGAGGAAGCUGUGCGUGCAUGUACAACCACUUGGUUUUUCUGGAUCAAAAUUUUCUAUACAAGCGAUCAGCUGAAAAUUAGACACUGCACCACACCAUUCCUUGAAAAAAAGAAUGUCAGUAAAGAAGUGACAGACUAACUUCAAGAUAAUUAACACAAACCGGGCAUAAACAUAGGCUUGUACAGACUAACUUCAAAUCAAAAUAUGUAAUGUUGUGGACUAUAUUAACUCAAUGUUUAAAUCAGAAUCGGCACCGAAGGAUUUUUCAUCUAACUCGAUGUUUAUGCUGCAAGUUCAUAUCAAAGCACCGACAAAUAUAGUAUAAAAAAUACUUGCUUGCCAAGUGAACUUCAAAUGGCAUGCAAAAUUUAACAAAUAUUAUGAUACAGUUUCACUGAGAGACCUCCCACACUAAUAGUUUAUUUGUGGAGUACUAAGCGGUAUUACUUGUUAUUACAUGAAAAAUUCAAAAUCUGUACAGACACACUUAGAACCCAUGAACACCCAAGAGAUAGCAACUCUAAUGGAGUAUCAAUAAAAUGCAUAAUAUCAGGGAGAUUGUACAAUGCGGAUUUUAUGCACACAAAAAUAUCUGUAGAGUUAUAUUUUUACUGGAACCACACAACAGUCCAGACCUUGAACAACUCAAAAUAUACAGCCUGAAUAAUUCACAUCAAGAAUGGAUCGGUAUGAAGCUCACCCUGUUCUGCUCGAGGACCGUGGCAUUGGCGUCGAUCAGGUGGGAGAUGUACUGACUAUAAUGUGCAAAGCAAAGAUAUUAGUGUGACAAUUGGAUAUCUCAUUUCAUUAUUACCGAAAUGCAAAUGUUGUCUCAACUGAACCGAAUUCUUUAAGAACUAUGCCUUCCCAAAUGUCUAAAUUUACUAACUGAAUUCUUAACGAAUUGAUUCAAUUGCAUACUAACUGAACUAAGAAGGAACAAUUUACAUUGGGCAGCUGCACAUUACUUUCCCUUUCUUCAUGAUGAGGUUUGUCAUGCAUAAAGUAACAAGUAUCUAUUUACUACUUGGAAUUAAUGAUCUAGCAUUAGAAACCUGAAGUUGUGUAACACUGACCAUCCUUUGUUUAAUAAUAAAAAGAAUAUAUUUUCCAUCUUUGCAUUGGUAAGACUAAAACAAAUAUAUCAGACACCAUAUUACUCGUACUUGAAAUGUGCCAACUAAAAUGAAAUACCUAGGCCUCACCUGCCCUGAAUGUCCUGUGCUCAAUUAUGCAAAGUUCAGACUUACAGAAUUCAUGUGAUAUCUAUCUUGUUAACCUUAGGUAUGCUAUCAAAGUGAAAAUGUAAGCCUUAUAACCUAUGUUGAAUAUAGACAAGGAACCAAAAGUGAUCAGUCACAAGCGAAUGUUGCAAAUUCCAGCAGUACACACGAUUGUUAUCAGUUCCACCAAUAAUAUUCAUGAAUAGAACAUCAAAUAAUAUGAGCAGAUGUUGUAGAGGAGAGGGCGGAGGUCCAAGUGCUCACUGAAGAAGAUUGUAGGCGAUGUAGCCGUCGCAGUGCAGGUCGGCUACCACCGUCGCGUGGCGGAGGAGGCCGUCACAUGAUGCACGGGAUGCACAGCAGCGCCGGAGACGCAGCAAAGGAGGUCAGGGUCGACGCCAUACAGUCCAACACGCGUGAGCACACCGAGCUAGGAGGCG